Molecule: small nuclear RNA, 112 nt
Filed under: Myotis brandtii (Brandt's bat)
Lineage: Eukaryota; Metazoa; Chordata; Mammalia; Chiroptera; Vespertilionidae
Source: RNAcentral
GUGUUGGCUUCGGCAGCACAUAUACUAAAUUGGAACGAUACAGAGAAGAGAGAUUUGCAUGGCCCCUGCGUAAGGGGUGUCCAGCAAAUCCUGUGACGCAUUUCAUUUAAAA